CAGUUUUGGGAGAGUGUACUAGUCCUGGCUGCUUGGAGGUCAGGGGAAGUCCCCAGGGUAGCAAGGAAUGGGUCACACCAUGCUUGGUGCUUUCCUAGCAUCCCCACCUUGGCUGGCCAGGCACUGCACUGUGGAGCAGGGGGUGUAUGGAGUAAACCUGGCUUGGAGAGGGGACAGAGCACACCUGAGGGAAGUGGCACAGGAGAAAAUACAUGUUGGGUCUUGCUGUGGCUGCUGCUGUCUGGUUCUCCCUGGAACUGGACCCUGCCCGCUGUGCUGGUGAGCCCUGGCCCCAUUUGCAUCCUGCAGCCCGGGACAGCCGAGCCCUCUCCCCAGAUGCAGACUGGUGGAAAAUCUUGACAGAGGAAUGGAGCAGCUUUCCUACAUCUAGUACCUGUCUGCAGAGCAGAGGAUGUGAAAGAUGGAUGUCAGGAGCUCGCCUUGUUUAGCCAAGGAUGCUUAUCUUCCCAUAGCACCUAAGAUGCUUCUGAUCCCACAAGAAUAUAUAUAAAGAUCAGUGAAAUGUCACUGAUCUGCAUUAAUCAUAUCUGGAUUGCUACUUCUUAGGCCCUUUCCCUCCUCCUUUCCUUACAUGGAGCCCAGCAUCAUCUAGCCACUUGGCUAGUGGUGGGCAGCCUGUGUCUCAGUGCUGCACGUGCCCUUUUGGAGUCACCUGAGUCCCACGAGCCAGCCGAUGUCCCAGAGGGAUGCAGCAGAGCCAGCACAUGUCACCACUGAUGUCUCAAUGGCUACAAAGUGCCGCUAAUUGGAGGAGCUGGAAUGCACACAAACUCCGUGGGCUGAACUCGCAUCCUUGUGCAAAUUGAAUUACAAGCAGGAAUAAGUCUAAUUGCACCAGACAGCAAUUAGGAGGGCUUCACUGUCAGGAGACAGCUGCCUGGUGCUGGGCUGGGGAAGUUGCUUUCCUCCUGUGGGAGGGGACCCGUGUGUGCCCAGAGCUGCUGGGGGGGCUUGGGGGGUGUUUGGGUGCACACCUGGUGAUGCCCCCACAAAGCACACCCACCACAGAGCCCAUACCCUGUCCCUGUCUAUAUUUGGCUAAUCACUCACCCAGGGCAUGACCAUGCUCAGUCCCAGGUGCAGAUGAGGGACAGGUUAUUUCUUGGCUCUGGGACCCCAGACAUCUGUUGUAGCCACCUAAUUCCUUUCCACAGGCUCAUUACUGUGUUAGCCAAACACCAUGAGCUCUGUCCUGUGUCUCCCUCAGGGAGCCCCUGAGAAACAAGGUGCUGCCUCCAGCCCUUCUGCAGGUCUGGGUGGCUGGGGCUGUUCCAUGUGCCUGGUCUCAUAAGGGAUGUCUGGGCUAAAGCAUCGCCUGUCUUCUGUGCCCUGCACCCAAAUUGUCUGCUCCAGGGGACACUAUGGGGACAUCAAUGAGCAGAGCUGGGCGGUUCUGAGCCUCCGGGCACCUGACUUGUGGCCGUUCAUAUGUGAAGGAUUUGGGUCUGAGUUGCCCAGUGUGGAGGCUCUAGAAACCUCUUCCUCCAAAUUGGCUGAGGAUUUGUAAGAGCCGUACCCCAAUCUCCUUGUUCAAGCUUUAAUAACAUAGGGAAUUAGUGGUAAAGUAUUGGAUGAUUUAAAAAUAAUAAAAUAUUCCUGUAGUAAAGCUUGCUUGCUUGCUUUUUUUUUUUUUUUUUAAAAAAAAAAAAGAGUAGUUGAUUGUACUUUGAUUAAGCAUGGGAGAAGUUGUGUAUAUAAAACAUCCCUUUGGACAUUUUGUUACUGUAACCACCAUAAUAAAAGUUUGGUUUAUGUAA
This is a long non-coding RNA of Anas platyrhynchos (mallard), 1778 nucleotides long. RefSeq lists it as uncharacterized. The record is from RefSeq and is a predicted model, not a curated record. Lineage: Eukaryota; Metazoa; Chordata; Aves; Anseriformes; Anatidae.